GUCUAUGGCCAUGCUACCCUGAACAUGCCUGAUCUUGGAAGCUAAGCAGGGUCAGGCAUGCUUAGUACUUGGAUGGGAGACCACCUAGGAAUACCAGGUGCUGUAGCUG
This 109-nucleotide ribosomal RNA is filed under the name Pteropus alecto (black flying fox). The record is from RNAcentral. Lineage: Eukaryota; Metazoa; Chordata; Mammalia; Chiroptera; Pteropodidae.